RNAcentral lists this ribosomal RNA (280 nucleotides) under Dickeya dadantii. Its description in RNAcentral is "partial 16S ribosomal RNA". It matches the Rfam family "Bacterial small subunit ribosomal RNA", at positions 508 to 787 of the family's 1533-position model. Lineage: Bacteria; Pseudomonadati; Pseudomonadota; Gammaproteobacteria; Enterobacterales; Pectobacteriaceae. The record is from RNAcentral.
CCAGCAGCCGCGGUAAUACGAAGGGGGCUAGCGUUGCUCGGAAUCACUGGGCGUAAAGGGUGCGUAGGCGGGUCUUUAAGUCAGGGGUGAAAUCCUGGAGCUCAACUCCAGAACUGCCUUUGAUACUGAGGAUCUUGAGUUCGGGAGAGGUGAGUGGAACUGCGAGUGUAGAGGUGAAAUUCGUAGAUAUUCGCAAGAACACCAGUGGCGAAGGCGGCUCACUGGCCCGGUACUGACGCUGAGGUGCGAAAGCGUGGGGAGCAAACAGGAUUAGAUACCC